ACAGCAGUCGCCACGGUAAAACGGAGGGUGCAAGCGUUAAUCGGAAUUACUGGGCGUAAAGCGCACGCAGGCGGUCUGACAAGUCAGAUGUGAAAUCCCCGGGCUUAACCUGGGAACUGCAUUUGAAACUGUCAGGCUGGAGUCUUGUAGAGGGGGGUAGAAUUCCAGGUGUAGCGGUGAAAUGCGUAGAGAUCUGGAGGAAUACCGGUGGCGAAGGCGGCCCCCUGGACAAAGACUGACGCUCAGGUGCGAAAGCGUGGGGAGCAAACAGGAUUAGAUACCCCAGUAGUCCCUGUCUCUUAUAC
This 305-nucleotide ribosomal RNA is filed under the name uncultured bacterium. RNAcentral describes it as "partial 16S ribosomal RNA". It matches the Rfam family "Bacterial small subunit ribosomal RNA", at positions 505 to 807 of the family's 1533-position model. The record is from RNAcentral.